GCUGGGCACGGCGGCGUGUGCCUGUAAUCCCAGCUACUCGGGAGGCUGAGGCAGGAGAAUUGCUUGAACUCGGGAGGCAGAGGUUGCAGUGAGCCAAGAUCAUGCCACUGCACUCCAUCCUGGGCGACAGAGCAAGACUCUGCCUCAA
Unclassified non-coding RNA from Pongo abelii (Sumatran orangutan), 148 nucleotides. It matches the Rfam family "Metazoan signal recognition particle RNA". From Rfam's summary of the family: The signal recognition particle (SRP) is a universally conserved ribonucleoprotein. It is involved in the co-translational targeting of proteins to membranes. Lineage: Eukaryota; Metazoa; Chordata; Mammalia; Primates; Hominidae. The record is from Ensembl.